Molecule: non-coding RNA, 46 nt
Organism: Ignavibacteria bacterium 13_1_40CM_2_61_4
Lineage: Bacteria; Pseudomonadati; Ignavibacteriota; Ignavibacteria
Source: Rfam
CCCAGCGCUUAUGCGCUGGGCUAGCAACUGACGCACCUCCGGCGCU